This 363-nucleotide transfer-messenger RNA is filed under the name Gracilibacillus dipsosauri. Its description in RNAcentral is "Standard tmRNA". It matches the Rfam family "transfer-messenger RNA". Rfam says of the family: Bacterial tmRNA, also known as 10Sa RNA or SsrA, is named for its dual tRNA and mRNA-like properties. Its role is to liberate the mRNA from a stalled ribosome. The record is from Rfam by way of RNAcentral. RNAcentral also lists the same sequence under 2 other names. Lineage: Bacteria; Bacillati; Bacillota; Bacilli; Caryophanales; Bacillaceae.
GGGGACGUUACGGAUUCGACAGGGGUAGAUCGAGCUCAGGUUGCGCGUCGAGGUUACGUCUCGUUAAACGUUAACGCCAAUAAUAACUGGCAAAGAAAACAAUUACUCUUUAGCAGCUGCGUAAGCACUGUCUAAAGGAUCCUUCCUAUCAUCGCCCAUGUGGUAGAUUGAAGGGUCUCACUUAUCAGUGGGCUACGCUAUCAUCCACCGUCUGAGGAUAGAUAGAAGAGACCAAUCAGACUAGCUACUAGGACGCCUGUUGGUAGGCAAAAUAGUUAGCGAAUUUAAAUUUACCAACUACACGUGUAGAAGCCUGAGUGGCGAUAUCCUUGGACGUGGGUUCGACUCCCACCGUCUCCACCA